UGAAAUCCUAGCAUAUCCCCCCUCCCCCCCCCCACCACCUGGGGGGACUGCAACAGGCGCGCAAAUUAAUGAAUCCCUACUCGGGGAGGUAGUGAAGAUAAAUACCGAUGCAGGGAUCUUUGGGGUCCUGUAAUUGGAAUGAGUACAACUGAAUUCCCUUAGUGAGGAACAACCUGGAGGGCAGGAACGGUGCGCGCAUCCGCGGUAAUUCCAGCUCCAAUA
RNAcentral lists this non-coding RNA (222 nucleotides) under Verticillium dahliae VdLs.17. RNAcentral describes it as "Verticillium dahliae eukaryotic small subunit ribosomal RNA". It matches the Rfam family "Eukaryotic small subunit ribosomal RNA", at positions 410 to 596 of the family's 1831-position model. Lineage: Eukaryota; Fungi; Ascomycota; Sordariomycetes; Glomerellales; Plectosphaerellaceae. The record is from Rfam by way of RNAcentral.